This 491-nucleotide ribosomal RNA is filed under the name uncultured bacterium. RNAcentral describes it as "partial 16S ribosomal RNA". It matches the Rfam family "Bacterial small subunit ribosomal RNA", at positions 29 to 506 of the family's 1533-position model. The record is from RNAcentral.
AGUGAACGCUGGCGGUAGGCCUAACACAUGCAAGUCGAACGGCAGCACAGUAAGAGCUUGCUCUUACGGGUGGCGAGUGGCGGACGGGUGAGGAAUACAUCGGAAUCUACUUUUUCGUGGGGGAUAACGUAGGGAAACUUACGCUAAUACCGCAUACGACCUACGGGUGAAAGCAGGGGAUCUUCGGACCUUGCGCGAUUGAAUGAGCCGAUGUCGGAUUAGCUAGUUGGCGGGGUAAAGGCCCACCAAGGCGACGAUCCGUAGCUGGUCUGAGAGGAUGGUCAGCCACACUGGAACUGAGACACGGUCCAGACUCCUACGGGAGGCAGCAGUGGGGAAUAUUGGACAAAGGGCGCAAGCCUGAUCCAGCCAUACCGCGUGGGUGAAGAAGGCCUUCGGGUUGUAAAGCCCUUUUGUUGGGAAAGAAAAGCAGCAGGUUAAUACCCCGCUGUUCUGACGGUACCCAAAGAAUAAGCACCGGCUAAUUUCGU